RNAcentral lists this ribosomal RNA (22 nucleotides) under Pseudoneoconiothyrium rosae. Its description in RNAcentral is "partial 28S ribosomal RNA". Lineage: Eukaryota; Fungi; Ascomycota; Dothideomycetes; Pleosporales; Thyridariaceae. The record is from RNAcentral.
UAUGACCUCGGAUCAGUAGUCU